GAGAAAUGGGAAAAACAGGGCAAGUCUGGAUCUGCAGUGAAGACUUUAAUCCAACUCUAAUCUCAUACUCAUA
Molecule: small nucleolar RNA, 73 nt
Organism: Scleropages formosus (Asian bonytongue)
Lineage: Eukaryota; Metazoa; Chordata; Actinopteri; Osteoglossiformes; Osteoglossidae
Product: small nucleolar RNA SNORD19
Source: Ensembl